CGGAAGAUGUAACGGGGCUCAAAUCUAUAACCGAAGCUGCGGAUGCUAGUUUACUAGCAUGGUAGGGGAGCGUUCUGUAGGCCGAUGAAGGUGCAUUGUAAAGUGUGCUGGAGGUAUCAGAAGUGCGAAUGUUGACAUGAGUAGCGAUAAAGCGGGUGAAAAGCCCGCUCGCCGAAAGCCCAAGGUUUCCUGCGCAACGUUCAUCGGCGUAGGGUGAGUCGGCCCCUAAGGCGAGGCAGAAAUGCGUAGUCGAUGGGAAACAGGUUAAUAUUCCUGUACUUGAUUCAAAUGCGAUGUGGGGACGGAGAAGGUUAGGUUGGCAAGCUGUUGGAAUAGCUUGUUUAAGCCGGUAGGUGGAAGACUUAGGCAAAUCCGGGUCUUCUUAACACCGAGAAGUGACGACGAGUGUCUACGGACACGAAGCAACCGAUACCACGCUUCCAGGAAAAGCCACUAAGCUUCAGUUUGAAUCGAACCGUACCGCAAACCGACACAGGUGGGCAGGAUGAGAAUUCUAAGGCGCUUGAGAGAACUCAGGAGAAGGAACUCGGCAAAUUGAUACCGUAACUUCGGGAGAAGGUAUGCCCUCUAAGGUUAAGGACUUGCUCCGUAAGCAUCUGAGGGUCGCAGAGAAUAGGUGGCUGCGACUGUUUAUUAAAAACACAGCACUCUGCUAACACGAAAGUGGACGUAUAGGGUGUGACGCCUGCCCGGUGCUGGAAGGUUAAUUGAAGAUGUGAGAGCAUCGGAUCGAAGCCCCAGUAAACGGCGGCCGUAACUAUAACGGUCCUAAGGUAGCGAAAUUCCUUGUCGGGUAAGUUCCGACCCGCACGAAUGGCGUAACGAUGGCCACACUGUCUCCUCCUGAGACUCAGCGAAGUUGAAGUGGUUGUGAAGAUGCAAUCUACCCGCUGCUAGACGGAAAGACCCCGUGAACCUUUACUGUAGCUUUGCAUUGGACUUUGAAGUCACUUGUGUAGGAUAGGUGGGAGGCUUAGAAGCAGAGACGCCAGUCUCUGCGGAGCCGUCCUUGAAAUACCACCCUGGUGUCUUUGAGGUUCUAACCCAGACCCGUCAUCCGGGUCGGGGACCGUGCAUGGUAGGCAGUUUGACUGGGGCGGUCUCCUCCCAAAGCGUAACGGAGGAGUUCGAAGGUUACCUAGGUCCGGUCGGAAAUCGGACUGAUAGUGCAAUGGCAAAAGGUAGCUUAACUGCGAGACCGACAAGUCGAGCAGGUGCGAAAGCAGGACAUAGUGAUCCGGUGGUUCUGUAUGGAAGGGCCAUCGCUCAACGGAUAAAAGGUACUCCGGGGAUAACAGGCUGAUUCCGCCCAAGAGUUCAUAUCGACGGCGGAGUUUGGCACCUCGAUGUCGGCUCAUCACAUCCUGGGGCUGUAGUCGGUCCCAAGGGUAUGGCUGUUCGCCAUUUAAAGUGGUACGUGAGCUGGGUUUAAAACGUCGUGAGACAGUUUGGUCCCUAUCUGCAGUGGGCGUUGGAAGUUUGACGGGGGCUGCUCCUAGUACGAGAGGACCGGAGUGGACGAACCUCUGGUGUACCGGUUGUAACGCCAGUUGCAUAGCCGGGUAGCUAAGUUCGGAAGAGAUAAGCGCUGAAAGCAUCUAAGCGCGAAACUCGCCUGAAGAUGAGACUUCCCUUGCGGUUUAACCGCACUAAAGAGUCGUUCGAGACCAGGACGUUGA
This 1700-nucleotide ribosomal RNA is filed under the name Neisseria meningitidis alpha704. RNAcentral describes it as "bacterial LSU rRNA". It matches the Rfam family "Bacterial large subunit ribosomal RNA", at positions 1164 to 2856 of the family's 2925-position model. Lineage: Bacteria; Pseudomonadati; Pseudomonadota; Betaproteobacteria; Neisseriales; Neisseriaceae. The record is from RNAcentral.